RNAcentral lists this ribosomal RNA (416 nucleotides) under uncultured bacterium. Its description in RNAcentral is "bacterial SSU rRNA". It matches the Rfam family "Archaeal small subunit ribosomal RNA", at positions 455 to 872 of the family's 1478-position model. The record is from RNAcentral.
GUGCCAGCAGCCGCGGUAAUACCGGCAGCCCAAGUGGUGGCCGCUUUUAUUGGGCCUAAAGCGUCCGUAGCCGGCCAGGUAAGUCCCUGUGUAAAUCUUCAGGCUUAACUUGAAGAAUUGCGGGGAUACUGCUUGGCUUGGGGCCGGAAGACGUGGAGGGUACUCCGGGGGUAGCGGUGAAAUGCUGUAAUCCUCGGGGGACCACCAGUGGCGAAGGCUCUCCACGAGGACGGGCCCGACGGUGAGGGACGAAAGCCAGGGGCGCGAACGGGAUUAGAUACCCCGGUAGUCCUGGCCGUAAACGCUGCGGCUUGGUGUUGCACGCUCUACGGGGGCGUGCAGUGCCGAAGCGAAGGCGAUAAGCCUGCCGCCUGGGAAGUACGCUCGCAAGAGUGAAACCCAAUAGAUUAGUACGG